Molecule: ribosomal RNA, 406 nt
Filed under: uncultured bacterium
Lineage: Bacteria
Description: bacterial SSU rRNA
Rfam family: Bacterial small subunit ribosomal RNA
Source: RNAcentral
GGACCCGCACAAGCAGUGGAGCAUGUGGUUUAAUUCGAAGAUACGCGCAGAACCUUACCAACCCUUGACAUCCUGUGCUACAUUCAGAGAUGAAUGGUUCCCUUCGGGGACGCAGUGACAGGUGCUGCAUGGCUGUCGUCAGCUCGUGUCGUGAGAUGUUCGGUUAAGUCCGGCAACGAGCGCAACCCACAUCCCUAGUUGCCAGCAGUUCGGCUGGGCACUCUAUGGAAACUGCCCGUGAUAAGCGGGAGGAAGGUGUGGAUGACGUCAAGUCCUCAUGGCCCUUACGGGUUGGGCUACACACGUGCUACAAUGGCAUCUACAGUGGGUUAAUCCCCAAAAGAUGUCUCAGUUCGGAUUGUCGUCUGCAACUCGACGGCAUGAAGUCGGAAUCGCUAGUAAUCGC